This 803-nucleotide ribosomal RNA is filed under the name uncultured bacterium. Its description in RNAcentral is "bacterial SSU rRNA". It matches the Rfam family "Bacterial small subunit ribosomal RNA", at positions 8 to 916 of the family's 1533-position model. The record is from RNAcentral.
AGAGUUUGAUCCUGGCUCAGAUUGAACGCUGGCGGCAGCUUACACAUGCAAGUCGAGUGGCGAACGGGUGAGUAAUACAUCGGAACGUGCCCAAUCGUGGGGGAUAGCCGGCGAAAGCGAUUAUACCGCAUACGAUUACGAGAAAGCGCGCGAAUGGAGCGGCCGAUGGCAGAUUAGGUAGUUGGUGGGUAAAGGUCACCAAGCCGACGAUCUGUAGCUGGUCUGAAGGACGACCAGCCACACUGGGACUGAGACACGGCCCAGACUCUACGGGAGGCAGCAGUGGGGAAUUUUGGACAAUGGGCGCAAGCCUGAUCCAGCAAUGCCGCGUGCAGGAUGAAGCUUCGGGUUGUAAACUGCUUUUGUACGGAACGAUAAUGACGGUACCGUAAGAAUAAGCACCGGCUAACUACGUGCCGCAGCCGCGGUAAUACGUAGGGUGCGAGCGUUAAUCGGAAUUACUGGGCGUAAAGCGUGCGCAGGCGGUGUGUAAGACAGUUGUGAAAUCCCGGGCUCAACCUGGAACUGCAUCUGUGACUGCAUGCUGGAGUGCGGCAGAGGGGGAUGGAAUCCGCGUGUAGCAGUGAAAUGCGUAGAUAUGCGGGGAACACCGAUGGCGAAGGCAAUCCCCUGGGCCUGCACUGACGCUCAUGCACGAAAGCGUGGGGAGCAAACAGGAUUAGAUACCCUGGUAGUCCACGCCCUAAACGAUGUCAACUGGUUGUUGGGCUCAGUAACAAGCUAACGCGUGAAGUUGCCGCCUGGGGAGUACGGCCGCAAGUUAAACUCAAAGGAAUUGACGG